GGCAGAGGGAGAGGGGGGGGCGGGACUUCGUUUGAGACGCGCGCCUAGGUGCCAAUUCGGCCCAGUAUUAAACGUGCUUAUGAGCUAUAAACACGCGACGUCUCCACGGGGCCGUUGGCUGUUUUACAAGUGUAAUGGAUGUCUCUGGGACGCCCGAGCAGAGCGGCCCUGUUGUGAGGCUGAUAUUUCCGGAGGAGAAAUUGCCGUCUGAUCUUUAUUUGAAACAAGACUGCGGCCAAAACGAACCACACGCUGCAGAUUUAUGGACAGAUUUACAUCUCGUGGAUAACAACAAAAGCUGCAUAAAUUCCUCAACUGGAUGUCAGCAAACUGCUGAGCUCGCCUUUCUUGCUGUUGGCAGCGAGUUUGGCAAACCACAAUCCAUACCGGCGCCUCAAGUGAACAGUGUGUGCAGGAUCAGAUUUCAUUUCACUGAAUUCAAAAGGAUGUUUUACAGCUAAUAAAUGCCCAUUUUCCAUGUCCAUUUGUCAAGAAUUACCAUCUCUGUGACGGGAAAAGAAAGAGUUUGAGUUUGAGGCUAACUUGCAGAGAGGUAACUGUCUUAGUUUGUUUAACUUAAGUGAAUAUUGGCUGCGAGUGUCCCCCAAAGCGCCGGGCCAGUGAUAAAUGUGGAUGCAGCGCGCGGGUCCGGAGUUAUUUGAAAUGUGAGCCGUCUUCCAGUGGAGCAUGUACAAAGUGCAUGAACUAAAACUCUUCAGUGGAUGAAGCAACUCCUUUUAUACGUCGGGAUCUAUGAGUUAUUGUUCAGCUUCUGCUAUUGAAUCUGCACCGGGUUUGUACGUAUUUGCCUACCGAUGCCACCUUACACAGGUGGGGGGCCCCCAUGUGCUGUGUAUGUAGUCAAGUGGAGCGAGUGUGUUAAGAUGUCGUUUCUGUGUCGUUUUAACUUUCCAUCAGUCUCUAAUUGGUACUGUAUUGUAAGAUGACAUAUAUUUUUUUACACGUAUCGUUUCAAAUGUAUUUGCUGUGUUGAAAUUAGAUUAAAGAAAUGGAUGCUGACUCUGUGGUGCAUUAACUGCUGCGAAGUGUUGAGUAUGUGUGUCCAGGCUUGAAUAACGAACGCCUCGGGGAAAACAGAAACCUGUUUACACGACCGCGGAUGAAAAAUGUCAUCUUUCAGUCUUUGCCUGAACUUGUUUUCUUUCACUCAUCGAAAAGCAUUGAGUGACAUGAAUAAAAGUAGAACAUACAGUGUACAUAUUACAUUAAAAAAGUGGGGGGGAAACAUCUACAUUUCCAUUUCCUUGAAACUCACGAGUAGAAGGACUCAGAUCUUAGUUUAGCCAAAGGAAAAGCCACACAUUAUUCAUUUCAAUAUUCAUAUAUAUUAAAGCAAUACGGUACGAGAGGCUGUACAUUAUAGUCCAAUAAUGUAAUAGUUUGGCGGUGGUGUUGGGCAACCCUGGAACUGUUAAUGUUAAUAUAUGAAUAUUAAAAUGAAUUCUUUCUUUUUCGCAU
This is a long non-coding RNA of Gasterosteus aculeatus aculeatus (three-spined stickleback), 1479 nucleotides long. The record is from Ensembl. Lineage: Eukaryota; Metazoa; Chordata; Actinopteri; Perciformes; Gasterosteidae.